GAUGAAGAACGUAGCGACAUGCGAUAAGUAAUGUGAAUUGCAGAAUUCAGUGAAUCAUCGAGUCUUUGAACGCACAUUGCGCCCCCUGGUAUUCCGGGGGGCAUGCCUGUCCGAGCGUCAUUGCUGCCCUCAAGCACGGCUUGUGUGUUGGGCCUCCGUCCUCCUCCCGGGGGACGGGCCCGAAAGGCAGCGGCGGCACCGCGUCCGGUCCUCGAGCGUAUGGGGCUUUGUCACCCGCUCUGUAGGCCCGGCCGGCGCCUGCCGAUCAACCAAACUUUUUUCCAGGUUGACCUCGGAUCAGGUAGGGAUACCCGCUGAACUUAAGCAUAUCAAUAAGCGGAGGA
This 344-nucleotide unclassified non-coding RNA is filed under the name soil metagenome. RNAcentral describes it as "partial contains 5.8S ribosomal RNA, internal transcribed spacer 2, and large subunit ribosomal RNA". The stretch from base 1 to 120 matches the Rfam family "5.8S ribosomal RNA", at positions 35 to 154 of the family's 154-position model. The record is from RNAcentral.